This 253-nucleotide ribosomal RNA is filed under the name uncultured bacterium. RNAcentral's name for it is "partial 16S ribosomal RNA". It matches the Rfam family "Bacterial small subunit ribosomal RNA", at positions 524 to 776 of the family's 1533-position model. The record is from RNAcentral.
UACGGAGGGUGCAAGCGUUAUCCGGAUUCACUGGGUUUAAAGGGUGCGUAGGUGGCUAUAUAAGUCAGUGGUGAAAGCCCGCGGCUCAACCGUGGAAUUGCCAUUGAAACUGCAUAGCUUGAGUACAAUUGAAGUGGGCGGAAUACAUCAUGUAGCGGUGAAAUGCUUAGAUAUGAUGUAGAACACCGAUUGCGAAGGCAGCUCACUAAGUUGUAACUGACACUGAGGCACGAAAGCGUGGGUAGCGAACAGG